This 432-nucleotide ribosomal RNA is filed under the name uncultured bacterium. RNAcentral's name for it is "partial 16S ribosomal RNA". It matches the Rfam family "Bacterial small subunit ribosomal RNA", at positions 29 to 507 of the family's 1533-position model. The record is from RNAcentral.
ACGAACGCUGGCCGCAUGCCUAACACCUGCAAGUCGAACGAGACCUUCGGGUCUAGUGGCGCACGGGUGCGUAACGCGUGGGAACCUGCCCUUAGGUUCGGAAUAACUCCCCGAAAGGGGUGCUAAUACCGGAUAAUGUCUUCGGACCAAAGAUUUAUCGCCUUUGGAUGGGCCCGCGUUGGAUUAGCUAGUUGGUAGGGUAAAAGCCUACCAAGGCGACGAUCCAUAGCUGGUCUGAGAGGAUGAUCAGCCACACUGGGACUGAGACACGGCCCAGACUCCUACGGGAGGCAGCAGUGGGGAAUAUUGGACGAGGGGCGAAAGCCUGAUCCAGCAAUGCCGCGUGAGUGAUGAAGGCCUUAGGGUUGUAAAGCUCUUUUACCCGGGAUGAUAAUGACAGUACCGGGAGAAUAAGCUCCGGCUAACUCCGUG